Molecule: long non-coding RNA, 436 nt
Filed under: Phoenix dactylifera (date palm)
Lineage: Eukaryota; Viridiplantae; Streptophyta; Magnoliopsida; Arecales; Arecaceae
Description: long non-coding RNA (PDAC_LNC001281)
Source: RNAcentral
UCUGAGAAGGAAAACCAACUCAUUAACAGAAGACGAGUCUCAUCAAGCAUAAAAAGAAAUACAUAAGACAAUGUGCUAGGUAGGGAAUUAGUAAGAACGCUUUCGUAAUACAUCUUACUUCAGACUGAAGGUUGCACCUCCAUUUCUCCAUUAUUCUCAGGAUUUUCCUCAGAAGUACUUCCAUGAGCAUGUAGAGGCAUCUUUGAAGCUGAUCCCCAUCAUGCAAUAUGGUAAAAUUCCAGAUUUUCAGUUGGAGAUAAGUUUUUAAAUGUCAAGGUUUUCCAUUUAAGAGCAUACAAGAAGUUUCCUGCUCGAGCUCAAAGAAAGCCUUACCAGGGGUACAGGAAACGGGCGAUUGUGGUACCUCAUCUUUCACAGGUCCCAUACAUGAUUCUGAAGGCUUGUAAAAGAGCAAAUGAGCCACAGUUCGGUCUAC